GCGGGCGUGGCGAAAUGGUAGACGCAAGGGACUUAAAAUCCCUCGGGCGCUGUCCCGUGCGGGUUCGAGUCCCGCCGCCCGCA
This 83-nucleotide transfer RNA is filed under the name Consotaella salsifontis. RNAcentral describes it as "tRNA_Leu_TAA". It matches the Rfam family "tRNA". Rfam says of the family: Transfer RNA (tRNA) molecules are approximately 80 nucleotides in length. Lineage: Bacteria; Pseudomonadati; Pseudomonadota; Alphaproteobacteria; Hyphomicrobiales; Aurantimonadaceae. The record is from RNAcentral.